RNAcentral lists this ribosomal RNA (440 nucleotides) under uncultured bacterium. RNAcentral's name for it is "partial 16S ribosomal RNA". It matches the Rfam family "Bacterial small subunit ribosomal RNA", at positions 338 to 795 of the family's 1533-position model. The record is from RNAcentral.
CCUACGGGUGGCAGCAGUGGGGAAUAUUGCACAAUGGGCGAAACCCUGAUGCAGCGACGCCGCGUGAGUGAGGAAGUAUUUCGGUAUGUAAAGCUCUAUCAGCAGGGAAGAAAAUGACGGUACCUGACUAAGAAGCCCCGGCUAACUACGUGCCAGCAGCCGCGGUCAUACGUCGGGGGCAAGCGUUAUCCGGAUUUACUGGGUGUAAAGGGAGCGUGGACGGCUAAUCAAGUCAGAAGGGAAAACCCAGGGCUCAACCUUGGGAGUGCUUUUGAAACUGGGUAGCUAGAGUGCAGGAGAGGUAAGCGGAAUGCCUAGUGUAGCGGUGAAAUGCGUAGAUAUUGGGAGGAACACCAGUGGCGAAGGCGGCUUACUGGACUGUAACUGACGGUGAGGCUCGAAAGCGUGGGGAGCAAACAGGAUUAGAUACCCGAGUAGUC